RNAcentral lists this ribosomal RNA (459 nucleotides) under uncultured bacterium. RNAcentral describes it as "partial 16S ribosomal RNA". It matches the Rfam family "Bacterial small subunit ribosomal RNA", at positions 338 to 795 of the family's 1533-position model. The record is from RNAcentral.
CCUACGGGAGGCAGCAGUGAGGAAUAUUGGUCAAUGGACGAGAGUCUGAACCAGCCAAGUAGCGUGAAGGAUGACUGCCCUAUGGGUUGUAAACUUCUUUUAUAUGGGAAUAAAAUGUUCCACGUGGGGGAUUUUGUAUGUACCAUAUGAAUAAGGCUCGGCUAACUCCGUGCCAGCAGCCGCGGUAAUACGGAGGAUCAGAGCGUUAUCCGGAUUUAUUGGGUUUAAAGGGUGCGGACGCGUAUUGUUAGGUCAGCGGUAAAAGGUGCGGGCUAAACCCGGGCCGGCCGUUGAAACUGGGGAUCUUGAGUGGGGGAGAAGUAAGCGGAAUGCGUGGUGUAGCGGUGAAAUGCGUAGAUAUCACGCAGAACUCCGAUUGCGAAGGCAGCUUACCGGCGCCCGACUGACGCUGAGGCACGAAAGCGUGGGGAUCGAACAGGAUUAGAUACCCUGGUAGUC